AUGGGUAUAGGUCUAGUAU
Molecule: microRNA, 19 nt
Filed under: Bombyx mori (domestic silkworm)
Lineage: Eukaryota; Metazoa; Arthropoda; Insecta; Lepidoptera; Bombycidae
Description: bmo-miR-279b-5p
Gene: bmo-miR-279b-5p
Source: miRBase by way of RNAcentral